This 567-nucleotide ribosomal RNA is filed under the name endosymbiont of Plagiolepis pigmaea. RNAcentral describes it as "bacterial SSU rRNA". It matches the Rfam family "Bacterial small subunit ribosomal RNA", at positions 812 to 1380 of the family's 1533-position model. Lineage: Bacteria; Pseudomonadati; Pseudomonadota; Gammaproteobacteria; Enterobacterales; Enterobacteriaceae. The record is from RNAcentral.
UCAAUUUGAAGGUUGUGGCCUUGAGCUGUGGCUUUCGGAGCUAACGCGUUAAAUAGACCGCCUGGGGAGUACGGCCGCAAGGUUAAAACUCAAAUGAAUUGACGGGGGCCCGCACAAGCGGUGGAGCAUGUGGUUUAAUUCGAUGCAACGCGAAGAACCUUACCUACUCUUGACAUCCAGAGAACUUGGCGAGAUGCCUUGGUGCCUUCGGGAGCUCUGAGACAGGUGCUGCAUGGCUGUCGUCAGCUCGUGUUGUGAAAUGUUGGGUUAAGUCCCGCAACGAGCGCAACCCUUGUCCUUUGUUGCCAGCGAUUCGGUCGGGAACUCAAAGGAGACUGCCGGUGAUAAACCGGAGGAAGGUGGGGAUGACGUCAAGUCAUCAUGGCCCUUACGAGUAGGGCUACACACGUGCUACAAUGGCGCAUACAAAGAGAAGCGAUCUCGCGAGAGUCAGCGAACCUCAUAAAGUGUGUCGUAGUUCGGAUUGGAGUCUGCAACUCGACUCCAUGAAGUCGGAAUCGCUAGUAAUCGUGGAUCAGAAUGCCACGGUGAAUACGUUCCCGGGCC